RNAcentral lists this long non-coding RNA (1140 nucleotides) under Callithrix jacchus (white-tufted-ear marmoset). Its description in RNAcentral is "lncRNA (ENSCJAG00000079020.1)". Lineage: Eukaryota; Metazoa; Chordata; Mammalia; Primates; Cebidae. The record is from RNAcentral.
AACUCAUAAACCCCCUUUUUUCCCCAGAUGCUCUGUUCUGGGGAGUUAGGGCUUUAUUUAUGAAUUUGUCUUGUGCUGCUGCCUUUAUUUUUAGGGCUGUCCUGCCCAGCAAGGAGGCAGCCUAGUCACUGUCUGCCUGCAGAGGCUUUGCUGAGCUGCUGUGGGCUCCACACUGCUGCUGCGUGAACUUCCCUGCAGUCCUGUUAAUAUGGGUAUGGUUAGAACUGCCUCGGCAAUGGUAGCCCACCUCUGUAAUGGCGGAUUCUCUCUGUAAUGGCAGGUUGCCUCAGCAACGGCGGGCUGCCUCAGCAAUGACGGACUACCUCCGUUGAGGUGCAAUGCCUUGGUAAUGGUGGAUGCCCCUCCCCCACAGAGCUGGACCAUCCUGGGUUCAGCUGUGCUUGCCGUGAAACUCUCAACCCAGAGCAUUUCCAAUUGCUGUUUUUAAUUAUUUAUUUAUUUGUGUGUAGGGGUGGGACCUGCCGAGCCUGAUCACCUGGCCCCCUGCCUCAGAGCCUUUUUUUUUUUUAAAGCUGAAUGGUUGACUCUCUCCAAGGUGUUCCAAUCGCCUGCUGAAAAGGUGUCAGGAUCUGUGUGAUUACCCGUGUGGUGAUCCACUGCACCAGGUAAAACAACAGCGCUGGGAUUCAUGGCGCUUUUUUGCUUGAGAAUCUCCAGGCCUGGCUCCCUGUUUCAGUCCCUUGUUUAAUCAGAUAAAUGGGUGACUCUGCCUUCCCAGAGCUUCCAUCGCCAGCUUAAAAGGGCAACCAGACCAGUGUAUUUUGUACAGGGAACCACAACACUGGGGUGCCGGCAAAACAGCUGCGCCAGACAAAACAGCUGUGCUGGCAACCCGAGAGGCUCCUCCACCUGGGAAUCUUCUGGUCUGUGGGCAAUAAAGAUCCUUCUGGAAAUACGGCAUCCACUCACCCUCUGCCCUUUCACUGGGAGCUGCAAUCCUGGGCUGCUCCUAAAUGGCCAUCUUGGAUUUAUGUCCACUCAGAGACCCAAUCUAAAAAUGAGCAAAAUUAAUAAACAUAUGGUAUAUCUGGAAAAAAUGACAAUGCGAAUAGCAGGCAAUGAGUUUGUUUUAGUAAAACACAAAAGUUCUUGCAAACUGACAAGGAAAAUGACAAAAUA